Long non-coding RNA from Clarias gariepinus (North African catfish), 887 nucleotides. RefSeq lists it as uncharacterized. The record is from RefSeq and is a predicted model, not a curated record. NCBI's taxonomy places the organism in Eukaryota, Metazoa, Chordata, Actinopteri, Siluriformes, Clariidae. The transcript has 3 exons.
UGGAAUCGGGCUCAGAGCCAAUGGGCGGGCUACAUCUGAGCUCUAAUUUACAUACUACAGGGAAAAACUAAAGUUUUCUAAACAAAAUAUGAGAGAUUGACAACAAGAUAACGUUACAGCAUGUUGAUUAGAUAAGACUGAUCAAGUAGGCAUCAGGAGAUCCUUCUGGGUUUAUCAAAUAGCCAUUCAGUGUCUUUUCAAAAUAUGGACAGAGUUCAUCAGUCUGCAGUGCCACAAUGAAAUGCCUGAUCAGUUAAGCAAAAGAGAGCUGAAGAGAAAUUACAACAUUCUGUGUUCAUGUGAGCACAUUAACAAGGAUUUUACUCACUCACUCAUUCACUCACUCACUAUAGCUCUUAUCUUGUCCAGGGUUGCAGGGGCCUAUCCCAGGGAACUUGGCCACAUGGCAGGUGCCAUUGCAGGGCACACAAGCAAUUCACUCACUCACACAUUACGGGCAAUGUCUUUUGACUGUGGGAGGAAACCAAAGUACUUAGAGGAUUCCCAACAAGCACUGGAAGAACAUGCAAACUCCAUGCACACAGACCCAAGGCAGCACCCUGGAGGUGUAAGGUCACAGUGAUAACUCCACAGCACUGUGCUGCCAUUAACAAGGAUUUAGUAAAGUUGAUAAAAGAUAUUAUAUGACAUUCUUAAUAUCAGCCCCUGAGAUUAAUGAUGAAUAGGACCUAUAUAGGGUAAGUAGCUCAGUGGUUAAGGUAUUGGACUGCGGUUCGGAAGAUCCCAGGUUCAAACCCCACAACCACCAAGUUGCCACUGUUGGGCCCUUGAGCAAGGCCCUUAACCCUCAACUGCUCAGAUGUGUAAUGAGAUAAAAAUGUAAGUCGCUCUGGAUAAGAGCGUCUGCCAAAUGCCUAAAUGUAAAU